CGGGGAGAGAGAGAGAGAACCGGAGGGUCGUUCGGAAGUGGGGGGGGAAAUAUUUUUGGGGGCGGGGGUCGCUCACCCGCUCACGGCCCCGGACUCACGCACGCGCGCUCACGCCCUGCUCCGGGAAGCCUCCCUCCGGCCUGCCGGGCCAUGUGCGAAAGAGCGAGAGCCUCGCGAGACCGGGCGGAACCAACGCGCCGUUCCGCUCUCUCAGAGAAAGGGGGGGGGAAGAACCUAGGGAGGUCCGCCCCCUCACAUGAUCCUCCCGCAUAGAGACACGGAAAGGAUUUAUAUCCCGGAGAUACACAUUUUUAAAGAGCUUUUCUCUCCCUGGGGCACUUGCUACGAUAACUCAGUGUUUUUGUUCAAAUUGCGUCUACCCCCCUCCCCGUACUGGAUCUCUCGCUGUGGUUCAGCCCAACAUGGCGGCCUUGGGCCGGACUUAAGAGACCUCCCUUCGGUGGGGGGGGAGGCUCUGGGAGGGACUUUUCCUUUGUUGGCGCGACUAACGUUCGGGAUAAUACGUUUCCUGAUGGAUAAAAGCCCCAAAAUGUUGGCCUGAUGUUGAAGCCAUGAGAUCUGCAUCGAGACUGAUUGAAGAUCUGAACUCAGAACCUCAGUCCUGCACCGCUGCUGUAACCAUUAUACUAUACUUUGCCACAGUGUUUUAAUUUAAGCUGAUUUUUUUAUUGAGAGCACAAACAUCGCACAAAGUGAUAAUUUUUUUUGCACCUUUGUGAGCAAAAUAUUCAUCCAUUUAAAUUUGCAUUUUGUAUUUGUUCUGCACAUCUAUGUAUAAAUAUUUUGGGCCAGGGCUGAAUUAAAAAAAAAAAUCAAAACAGUGUAUGGCAAAUAUUAGUUUUAAAGGUCGCCAGCAAAUGUGAUACAGUAAUCUGUUGGGAGCCAAACCAAACCAAUAUUAAAAUGCAUAAGUGUCAGGAUAAAUAUGAAUGUAGUUGAAACACUUCAGAACAGAAAUACCAAACAUGUUCUCUAUGGAAUCAGUUAAAAUUACAAACACAGUAUGAUGUGGAACUUUAUACCACCCAGCCUGGUGAUUAAAUUAGAUUUGAACAGCAUGAUAUGAAACCUGUUUGAAAAUUGCCGUCUGCCACUCGGAAGCUUUCCUCUGUAGUAUCCGUCAGCGUGAUCCUGUAAGUCAUAUGCUGUUCACAUGGACCUCAUUAUGAUAUAAUUUUGUCUUGGCCUUUGAAGAGUGUUGAAUAAUUUGUUCCCGCAAUGUUCAUCUCGGACAGGUUUUAUAUAGGAUUAUUAUUAUAGCAAACCUCCGCUCCCUGCUUUUUAAGCCUCUGGACAAGCUUUAUAUUAACAAGAAGUUCUCUUCAAGCUUCUUAUUUAAAAGGAACUGGAGUUUAAAGUUCAAUACGAGUGCAGUCUACGUACUUCGUAUCUUUGUAUGCCAGCACAAUAGGUAUUAUAUCACGAAGAGUUUUGUAGCAU
RNAcentral lists this long non-coding RNA (1461 nucleotides) under Pogona vitticeps (central bearded dragon). Its description in RNAcentral is "lncRNA (ENSPVIG00000012686.1)". Lineage: Eukaryota; Metazoa; Chordata; Lepidosauria; Squamata; Agamidae. The record is from RNAcentral.